RNAcentral lists this long non-coding RNA (266 nucleotides) under Elaeis guineensis (African oil palm). RNAcentral describes it as "long non-coding RNA (EGUI_LNC037597)". The record is from RNAcentral. Lineage: Eukaryota; Viridiplantae; Streptophyta; Magnoliopsida; Arecales; Arecaceae.
GUGGUGAUUAUAAUAUAUAGCAGUGAAAAUAAAGUAUAUAAGUUGCUAUACAAGAAAUAAAAAUAAGUAAAGUAAGAAAUUAGGGUAAGAGAGUAAGCACAAUACAAACACACAAGAUUUAUAGUAGUUCGGAGCAAUCCGCUCCUACGUCCACUCUCCAAGCUUUUCUUGAGAAUUCUACUAUAAUCUCUUGACUACAGUGUAUUUAUUUUUUCGGACUUACAAACAAACUCAGUUAGUUUUUUUGAACUCACCAACCACAACCC